ACAUAGCCCCGGUUGCAGCGGCAUCCUUUGGCUAGGGAGAGGCGGCGGAGCGAAGCGGAGCCGACCGAGCGCCGACCAAAAGAUACAGCGAAAAACGGGUGGAAAA
This 106-nucleotide small RNA is filed under the name Epilithonimonas arachidiradicis. RNAcentral's name for it is "Chryseobacterium arachidiradicis Flavo-1 RNA". Lineage: Bacteria; Pseudomonadati; Bacteroidota; Flavobacteriia; Flavobacteriales; Weeksellaceae. The record is from RNAcentral.